Molecule: ribosomal RNA, 253 nt
Filed under: uncultured bacterium
Lineage: Bacteria
Description: partial 16S ribosomal RNA
Rfam family: Bacterial small subunit ribosomal RNA
Source: RNAcentral
UACGUAGGGUGCAAGCGUUAAUCGGAAUUACUGGGCGUAAAGCGUGCGCAGGCGGUUGUGCAAGGCCGAUGUGAAAUCCCCGGGCUCAACCUGGGAAUUGCGAUGGAGACUGCAAGGCUAGAAUCUGGCAGAGGGGGGUAGAAUUCCACGUGUAGCAGUGAAAUGCGUAGAGAUGUGGAGGAACACCGAUGGCGAAGGCAGCCCCCUGGGUCAAGAUUGACGCUCAUGCACGAAAGCGUGGGGAGCAAACAGG